UCGGAUAUGGUGUACGGUACACGGCCUCCUCUCCUGUCGUGGAGUCGUAAUCUCCUUCUCCAGGUCACGAGUUGCGCGAGGCAGAUCGGGGUUCGACUCCCCGUGUCCGAA
This is a non-coding RNA of Mycena latifolia, 111 nucleotides long. NCBI's taxonomy places the organism in Eukaryota, Fungi, Basidiomycota, Agaricomycetes, Agaricales, Mycenaceae. The record is from the annotation of a GenBank genome assembly.